Myripristis murdjan (pinecone soldierfish) is the source of this 99-nucleotide long non-coding RNA. RefSeq lists it as uncharacterized. The record is from RefSeq and is a predicted model, not a curated record. The transcript has 3 exons. Lineage: Eukaryota; Metazoa; Chordata; Actinopteri; Holocentriformes; Holocentridae.
CUCUGUGGUUGGUAAUCCCCUCUUGACAGGAGUGGAGCUAUGGGAUGUGUGUGUGUGUGUGUGUGUGUGUGUGUGUGUGUGUGUGUGUGUGUCUGUGUG